CGUAGGGUGCAGGCGUUAAUCGGAAUUACUGGGCGUAAAGCGUGCGCAGGCGGCUUCCUAAGUCAGAUGUGAAAUCCCCGGGCUCAACCUGGGAACUGCGUUUGAAACUGGGAGGCUAGAGUGCGGCAGAGGGGGGUGGAAUUCCACGUGUAGCAGUGAAAUGCGUAGAUAUGUGGAGGAACACCGAUGGCGAAGGCAGCCCCCUGGGCCAGCACUGACGCUCAUGCACGAAAGCGUGGGGAGCAAACAGGAUUAGAUACCCUGGUAGUCCACGCCCUAAACGAUGUCGACUAGUUUGUUGGGGGAGUCUGUCCCUCAGUAACGUAGCUAACGCGUGAAGUCGACCGCCUGGGGAGUACGGUCGCAAGAUUA
This 372-nucleotide ribosomal RNA is filed under the name uncultured organism. RNAcentral describes it as "bacterial SSU rRNA". It matches the Rfam family "Bacterial small subunit ribosomal RNA", at positions 526 to 896 of the family's 1533-position model. The record is from RNAcentral.